ACGGCUCAGUAACACGUGGAUAAUCUGCCCUCAGGUGAGGAAUAAUCCCGGGAAACUGGGGCUAAUACCUCAUAGGAGACAGGUGCUGGAAUGCUCUGUCUCCCAAAGGUCCGCCGCCUGAGGAUGAGUCUGCGUCCGAUUAGGUUGUUGUUGGGGUAACGGCCCAACAAGCCAUUGAUCGGUACGGGUUGUGGGAGCAAGAGCCCGGAGAUGGAUUCUGAGACAUGAAUCCAGGCCCUACGGGGCGCAGCAGGCGCGAAAACUUUACAAUGCGAGCAAUCGUGAUAAGGAAACCCUGAGUGCCUGUCAAUGCAGGCUGUUCUGGUGUCUAACACACACCAGGAGAAAGGGCGGGGCAAGACCGGUGCCAGCCGCCGCGGUAAUACCGGCUGCUCGAGUGAUAGCCGCUUUUACUGGGCUUAAAGCGUUCGUAGCUUGGUCGUUAACUCUCUGGGGAAAUCUUUUGGCUUAACCAAAAGGCGUCUCAGGGAAAGUGGCGAUCUUGGAACCGGGAGAGGUAAGACGUACUUCGGGGGUAGGAGUGAAAUCUUGUAAUCCCCGAGGGACGACCGAUGGCGAAGGCAUCUUACCAGAACGGCUUCGACAGUGAGGGACGAAAGCUGGGGGAGCAAACCGGAUUAGAUACCCGGGUAGUCCCAGCCGUAAACGAUGUGCGUUAGGUGUGUCAGCGACCACGAGUCGCUGAGUGCCGAAGGGAACCGUGAACGCACCGCCUGGGAAGUACGGUCGCAAGGCUGAAACUUAAAGGAAUUGGCGGGGAGCAC
Molecule: ribosomal RNA, 785 nt
Filed under: uncultured archaeon
Lineage: Archaea
Description: bacterial SSU rRNA
Rfam family: Archaeal small subunit ribosomal RNA
Source: RNAcentral